GACGAGCGCUGGCGGCGUGCUUAACACAUGCAAGUCGAACGGAAAGGCCUGCUUUCCCUUGUGGAUUGCGGGUACUCGAGUGGCGAACGGGUGAGUAACACGUGAGUGAUCUGCCCCCAACUUGGGUAUAAGCCUGGGAAACUGGGUCUAAUUCCCGAUAGGACUGCAGGGUGGUGCCUGUGGUGGAAAACGAUUUUCUAGUGGUUGGGGAUGAGCUCGCGGCCUAUCAGCUUGUUGGUGGGGUAAUGGCCUACCAAGGCGGCGACGGGUAGCCGGCCUGAGAGGGUGGACGGCCACAUUGGGACUGAGAUACGGCCCAGACUCCUACGGGAGGCAGCAGUGGGGAAUAUUGCACAAUGGGCGGAAGCCUGAUGCAGCGACGCCGCGUGGGGGAUGACGGCCUUCGGGUUGUAAACUCCUUUCGACCGCGAGGAAGCCACCUGGUUGGAAGGGUGGUGACGGUAGUGGUAGAAGAAGCACCGGCCAACUACGUG
RNAcentral lists this ribosomal RNA (494 nucleotides) under uncultured bacterium. RNAcentral describes it as "partial 16S ribosomal RNA". It matches the Rfam family "Bacterial small subunit ribosomal RNA", at positions 28 to 507 of the family's 1533-position model. The record is from RNAcentral.